This is a non-coding RNA of Oryctolagus cuniculus (rabbit), 3346 nucleotides long. NCBI's taxonomy places the organism in Eukaryota, Metazoa, Chordata, Mammalia, Lagomorpha, Leporidae. The record is from RefSeq and is a predicted model, not a curated record.
CUGCCAGCAGACUAAGGCAGUGUGGCUAAGAUGUCUGACUAGGAGGGAGUUCUAGGCCUUGCAAUGACCACAGGACCCAGUUAUUUAUCUGUCUUGAGGAGGCUGGACCUGAGCCACCUAGAGAAGAACAGGAGGACAAUGGAACAGGAUGAGCUUGGUCUCCCUUAGAGGAGGUAGGAAGCUGAAUCUAGCGGAGAGCUGAAGCGAGGAGGCAGAGGGGUGGCCUGUGAGGAGGGAAGUGGGUAGAAUCAGGAGGAUGGUGGAGUACAGGGGCUGCCAAAGGGACCUCUACUUCUGUGACUAUUAUGUCAGCAGACUGAUGCAACUAACUGCAGUGUCUGAGACAUUCCAAAUAGCAAUGCAGCCUGUAUUGUUUCAUUCUUGGACUACAAGCAACAAAAAUUAACUCUAGUAACUUGAGAGAAAGGGAAAUACAUUGGAAAGAUAUGAGAGGAAUCUUCGAAUCAAAGAGUAGCUAAAGAUGAAACUCAGAACUUUUAAAGUGUUUUACUAAUAUAUGGCGGUCUGGCUAUAUGGAGACGCAAGAGUCAGCCAUCUUGUCCUCUGAAUUCUGGCCCUGUGACUGCUGACACGGCUUCUUGUGCCUUCAUCUUUGUAUCUGAAAACUCCUGUCACCUGAGGGGACUUGAGCCUGUCUGCUAGACAUGAUCCUCCUUUAUCUUCUCCAAUUUUGCAAUCUUACCCAUUCUGAAGGAGGAUCUUGACCACAGCAUCUUCACCUUCUAGAAUCCUCUACCCAUUUUUGUAUAAUUCUGUCUAUGUCACGAUCUCAUGGAAUAUGGGUGAAGAUGAGGUUUUCUAGAACAUACUGAUGCCAUUUGACACCCUGGAUUCCACAGCCAAGGCUGGCCUAAGCAGGUGAAGACAGCAAAGAUUCGAGAGUUAAUGUGAUUUCCCAUCACCCACUAAGUCACAGGUGAAACCAAGAGACAACUGCAGGUCUGGCUGCUCUGAAGUCCACGUUUUCUCAGGCUUCAGAUUCAGGACAAGGUUGAUCCACUGUUUUGGGAACACAGCUCAAUGUUCCAUAUGAAAUACUUGUUGAGGUCAUUAAAGAUUGGUGGAAAAUAUAAAGAUUCAAUGAUAAAGAAUGCAGCUACAGGAAAACAGCAACAGAGGAAUAAUGUAUUUGAAAUUGAAGUGUUCAUGAUAUAAUUUGUAAAGAUUCAUGCAAGUUCAUAGAAGUUCACACCCCAUAGGACCUGGAAGGAGACUGUGUGAGCAUUAGGGGCACAAGGACCGAAUUUCCUCUUUUCCCUGUUCAUCCCAGGGUAGGCUGAAGCCCUGAGGAGAAUAUACCCAAAGAGAGGCAGAGUGGACAGUGAGAGAGAGAGAGACAGAGAGAAAGGUCUUCCUUAGCCGUUGGUUCACCCUCCAAUGGCCGCCGCGCUGAUGUGAAGUACUAUCUGAUGCAUGAAGGAGAGGAAUUCAAGUGUGCCUGAAUGUUUAUUCUUGUCAACAGCCAAGGAUGAUCUCAGCCAGAUUUCUUAGCUCCAACGGGGGAACAUCACUGAUGACACUGAGGAAGUGACUGGCUAAAGCACUCUGCACCAUUGGCUGAACUAAGCUCACAAGUCUUGGGGAGCUUCAGACAAGAAAAGUGUCACCCAUAAGAGCAAUAUCUACAUUGUAUUAUAUACAAUGUUAGAAUCUUUGCUCUGGCCUUUACUGACACUUAUGUGUAACUUUGAAAAAAGUAUUUAAUCUCUCAAAGUGACAUCCUCUAUAAAUGGGUCUCAAACUAUAUCACCUCAUAGAGGUAUUGAAGAAUUAAAUUAUAUAAACUGGGAAAACAUUCAGCAUGGUAUCCCACACAUUGUACAAUCUAAAUAAUGGCAUCCAAUAUCAUAAUAUGUACAACUACAAUUUCACCUACGACCCAAGUUUGACCAUGAAUUCUCUUUUUGGAGACAGUUCUAAGGAAAGCUAAAGCUUUUUGUUUGUUUCAGAGAGACACAUUUCAACUGGGAAUUACAGCAUAUUUACAAAUCCUGCCUGUAAGCCCAAUCAGAGAGAAGACAUAGAUUCUUUCACAAUGAAGAAAGGAAAACACUGAAAAGCAGUGUAUGAUUUUACAAUACUUACUUCACUCGGACUGAUGGAUAACUUUUUGUCCCAGAAAGGGGGAGGGCUCUUCAUGCAAGAGACAGUAAUGUCAUUAUUCAUGCUGUAAGCCAGCCCACUUCAACUGCUGGUCUUCACAAUGCCUACAAGUGUAAAAAAAAAAAAAAAAAAAGAAUACAAAAAAACCACUUGCUUCCUUUUUUUUUUAUGAGUAUUGACAUUCUUGUGCAGUAUUAGGAGAGCUAAUUUAGCUUCCAGUUCUAAGAAUUUUUGAAUCUAUAGCCAGUAAUUAUUGGCAUUCAGAGGUACAAAAGAGGAAAACAAAGCCUGCAAAUUCUAGCACAUUCAUGUGGGAUUGGGAGCUGAAUUAGGAUCCUCACACCCCAUUGAAUGAUCAGCCCCCCUAUUAGAGCCUUAUUAAAAUGGUAAUGAUUAUAUGCCAGCUAUAGGCAGGCAGCCGCACCUGUCAAAAACUACCCCGAUUAUCCUGUUCAUUGAACUGUCUGGCUCUUGAAUCAGUGUCUCAGGUUUACUCCUCUGUGAAGUUUUUUUUUCCCCCUGUCUUAAAUGUUUCUAAAAAGAUACAAGAACAAACAUUUCCGUGGGGUCAUAGAACACUCUUGCAGUUUAUUUUAUCUCCUCCUCAUUUUCUGUUUUUGUAUCUGAUAUGACGGUACAGUGAGUCAGAAAUCUUCUCUUUGAUUUGGGAUAGGAACAGGAUUAAGAAACAAAAAUAUAAAGUCUCCGAAAAAUAUUGAUGUUAGUAAAAGAAAAUUCAAAUGUAUACUUAAUCUGGAAAUUGUCAGCCACAUGUUGUAAUGAACGGAUAGAUUCUUGUUGGCCACAGAUUGGUUACCAAGCCAAGAGCUAUAUUGUCCUUCAUUUAAAAGACAUUUUGGGUUUUCAUCCAUCUUUUGCUCAUAAAAAUGCACAAAGCAAUAAUGUGUUUCAGCUGAAAUCAUUUUUUCCAAGACGAAUCAUACCAUUGAUUGGGCAAUGUUGUUUUUCUUAUAAAACCAAAUUUUCCUCUAAAACUAUUUCAGCUAUUAGUUUGUUAAAUUCUUAAUAGAAGAGCAUCUUGUGGAAGACAGAACUGGGAGACUGGACAUUGUCAGUAGCACUUGUUACAGAUGCUGUAAGAUAAUGAUGGUAACUGAUCACAGCACUUAGGAAGAACAUCAAUUUUCAGAGAAAACCAAAUUUUUGUUGUCUGUUUUGGUUUGGUUUGUUAAAGAAUAGUAUAUUCUGAUUACCAGAACAC